GUCUGACAUAACUUCUUAGUUAGUCGUUCAAACACGCAUCCAUAAUAAUGAUGAAAGCGCUUCAGAACUGUUUUCAAAACCACUUUCUUUAGUGCAAAAACCAGAGAAAUCAUUUAUUCUAUUUCCGUUUUGCAUCUCUUUAAUCUUUAUCCAUUCUUUUAUUCAUUCACAAGAUAGUUCUAACCUAGGUAUCAAAAUGGUUGCUUCCCAACUCGUAAAAUUUUCAAAAGAUCUAGCAGAUGAAACAAAUGUCUCUUUGCCUAAGGUGAUGUUCGCCGACAGCGAGGAACCGUGCGGCGUUAGGGUUCUCACCUAUCAGUCCUUGCGAGAGAUCAACACCAUCCUGACGAAGACGAGAUCCAGUAUCUCCUAGAGUCCUCAUUUGGUAAGACAGUCGUUAUAGCUGAAAAACCUGUCUUUUCUAGAAGAUUUGGUAGAUUCCUUCUUUCCAGGCAACUAAAGGCCAAAAAACAAGAAGCUUGGUUUCGAUUAGCCGAAAAGCAUAUUCGUUUUUCAUUGUGAAAGUUUUCCAUAGUGACGGGACUUGCUUGCGGUGACUUCCCAAGAAACCGAAGGUGUAGAAAAUCAUUAACGAGAAAUCCUAUUGGUCGGAGCUCUUUGGUAGUGUUGAAGAGAUGCAAGUAUUAAGAGAUGUGAAGAUGGUUAGGAAAAAACGGUUACAAAUCGAGAUAUCCAGAUGAAACUCACAUGUCUUGCAAUUUUUUCAUCCGUUUUUCUGUCCACAAAUCUCAAGAUGAAGAUUCUCAAGGAACAUGCUGAGCUGCUGGGAGACAUCGACGAAUUUUUUGCCUUCCCAUGGGGUCAACUAGCAUUCAACAUGCUGAUGACUAGCAUCAAAAAUGGGAUGAAAUUUCUCUAUCCUAAAAUACGAUAGCAUUGAAAGGUUCACACUAGGUCUAAGCUUGUAAUUGUUGAAGAUGUCCCUUUUUUACUGAAGUCGUUCAAGAAGCAUGUUCCUCAUCUGAAUCUGACAGUGACCACAAUGAGAUUGAUUGUCUGGUAAGCAAAACAAAGAAGAAGACUUUAAAUCUUGCCCAUGCUCUUGAAGUGGACAGAAAUGCAGAGGUUCUGGUCAGAAGCAUUAUUCCACAAGAUCCAAAACGACUCGUUGAUGAGUCCCUAUUUGUAUUGGCAGACGAAGUUACUGACAUCAAAGUAGAAAAACUUCUCAGGUUUAUACAUGCGAAUGAUGUCUUCUCAAAGGAUAUGUUCAAAGGUGGAGAAACCAAAUUCGAUGUAGAGAAGAUGCGUGAGUAAUCCAAAGCUGCUGCUAAAAAGAAGCAACCAAUUAACAAGCAGACACCAACUGUGGUCUUUGAUGAAGCCAGAGUUAGCUCAAUUUUUAUUUUUGUUCUGAAACCUAAGCUUCAUAGGGUUGAUGGGAAUGUUGCAUCGGCGCUCGCUUCCGUUAAAUAAUCUGCUUUCGCAUACAAAGCUUCUGUUGUUGCAGCCGUGGAGGCAAUGUUUAAGGCUUUCAAAGCCAAAUCCUUUCUUCCAUUGCCCCCAAAUGCUCAGCCUGCCGCUCAGGCACAACAUUCUACCCCACCACGUGGAAAUGGUGGCAAGGCCGGUAUCUCAGGACAUGCAGACGGAGGUGGUGGUGACGAAAAUGAUCAGAUUAUCAAAAAUGUCAUGGAAACUUUUAGUCAAUAUUCAACCCACCUGGUUCCGCUCAAUGUUGUCAUGUAAGUGUGCCUGACCUUUUUUUUUUUCAAUUUUACCAAACACCGAGAUUACACAUUCACUGUAUCAUCUUAGACUUUUGGUGUAUGCACAUAUGAUUGAAUCCAAAACUUAUUAUAUUAGCUUUUCUUA
Molecule: long non-coding RNA, 1836 nt
Organism: Brassica rapa (field mustard)
Lineage: Eukaryota; Viridiplantae; Streptophyta; Magnoliopsida; Brassicales; Brassicaceae
Source: RefSeq, a predicted model, not a curated record